GCGGGUAUAGCUCAGUGGUAGAGUGUGUGUUUAUCAUACACGGGGUCCUGGGUUCAAUCCCCAGUACCUCCU
This is a non-coding RNA of Vicugna pacos (alpaca), 72 nucleotides long. NCBI's taxonomy places the organism in Eukaryota, Metazoa, Chordata, Mammalia, Artiodactyla, Camelidae. The record is from the annotation of a RefSeq genome assembly.